ACCCGAUAGCCAGCCGGGCGCCAGACCGCGGCCGGACGGUUUCAUACCGUCCGGCCGCGGUCGUUCCCGUCGUGGACGCGCCUGAAGGGACGGGCGUCGUACGGUAGGU
Molecule: non-coding RNA, 109 nt
Filed under: Pseudofrankia asymbiotica
Lineage: Bacteria; Bacillati; Actinomycetota; Actinomycetes; Frankiales; Frankiaceae
Source: Rfam by way of RNAcentral